GGUUCUGGAGUGGCUGGCGGCGGGGCCUGGGUGUCCGCCCAGUGCCCGAGGACGCAGGCUUUGGCACCGAAGCCCGGACCUCUAGUGACGUUGAACAAGCCACAGGGUCUACCAGUGACAGGAAAACCAGGAGAGCUGACGUUGUUCUCAGUGCUGCCAGAGCUGAGCCAGUCCCUAGGGCUCAGGGAGCAGGAGCUUCAGGUUGUCCGAGCAUCUGGGAAAGAAAGCUCUGGGCUUGUACUCCUCUCCAGCUGUCCCCAGACAGCUAGUCGCCUCCAGAAGUACUUCAUCCAUGCACGAAGAGCCCAGAGGCCCACAGCCAUCUACUGUGCUGUCACUGAUGGGAUCCCAGCUGCUUCUGAGGGGAAGAUCCAGGCUGCCCUGAAACUGGAACACAUUGAUGCGGUCAAUCUCACAGUUCCAGUGAAGGCCCCAUCCCGAAAGGACAUCCUGGAAGGUGUCAAGAAGACUCUCAGUCACUUUCGUGUGGUAGCCACAGGCUCUGGCUGUGCCCUGGU
Molecule: long non-coding RNA, 518 nt
Filed under: Pan troglodytes (chimpanzee)
Lineage: Eukaryota; Metazoa; Chordata; Mammalia; Primates; Hominidae
Description: long non-coding RNA NONPTRT007743
Source: RNAcentral